RNAcentral lists this small RNA (28 nucleotides) under Bombyx mori (domestic silkworm). RNAcentral describes it as "piRNA piR-bmo-2029265". The record is from RNAcentral. Lineage: Eukaryota; Metazoa; Arthropoda; Insecta; Lepidoptera; Bombycidae.
AAACGUAGUAUUGAAGUGGAAAAAAACC